UACAGAGGUCCCAAGCGUCGUUCGGAUUCACUGGGCGUAAAGGGUGCGUAGGUGGCCAGGUAAGUUUGGUGUGAAAGCUCGGAGCUUAACUCCGAAAAGUCAUUGAAUACUAUCUGGCUGGAGGGUCGGAGGGGAGACUGGAAUUCUCGGUGUAGCAGUGAAAUGCGUAGAUAUCGAGAGGAACACCAGUGGCGAAGGCGAGUCUCUGGACGACUCCUGACACUGAGGCACGAAAGCUAGGGGAGCAAACAGG
Molecule: ribosomal RNA, 253 nt
Filed under: uncultured bacterium
Lineage: Bacteria
Description: partial 16S ribosomal RNA
Rfam family: Bacterial small subunit ribosomal RNA
Source: RNAcentral